Molecule: ribosomal RNA, 349 nt
Filed under: uncultured bacterium
Lineage: Bacteria
Description: bacterial SSU rRNA
Rfam family: Bacterial small subunit ribosomal RNA
Source: RNAcentral
UACCCGCAUAUUCUGUGAGCAGGGAAANCAGGGGAUCGCAAGACCUUGCGCUGAUUGAGCGGCCGAUAUCAGAUUAGCUAGUUGGUGAGGUAAAGGCUCACCAAGGCGACGAUCUGUAGCGGGUCUGAGAGGAUGAUCCGCCACACUGGAACUGAGACACGGUCCAGACUCCUACGGGAGGCAGCAGGUGGGGUAAUUUUGGACAAUGGGGGCAACCCUGAUCCAGCCAUGCCGCGUGAGUGAAGAAGGCCUUCGGGUUGUAAAGCACUUUCAGUGGGGAAGAACAGAUUCGGGUCAAUACCCCGGAGCCCUGACGUUACCCACAGAAGAAGCACCGGCUAACUCCGUG